AACGAACGCUGGCGGCAUGCCUAACACAUGCAAGUCGAACGAGACCUUCUGGUCUAGUGUCGCACGGGUGCGUAACGCGUGGGAACCUGCCCUUAGGUUCGGAAUAACUCCCCGAAAGGGGUUCUAAUACCGGAUAAUGUCUUCGGACCAAAGAUUUAUCGCCUUUGGAUGGGCCCGCGUUGGAUUAGCUAGUUGGUAGGGUAAAAGCCUACCAAGGCGACGAUCCAUAGCUGGUCUGAGAGGAUGAUCAGCCACACUGGGACUGAGACACGGCCCAGACUCCUACGGGAGGCAGCAGUGGGGAAUAUUGGACAAUGGGCGAAAGCCUGAUCCAGCAAUGCCGCGUGAGUGAUGAAGGCCUUAGGGUUGUAAAGCUCUUUUACCCGGGAUGAUAAUGACAGUACCGGGAGAAUAAGCUCCGGCUAACUCCGUG
Molecule: ribosomal RNA, 433 nt
Filed under: uncultured bacterium
Lineage: Bacteria
Description: partial 16S ribosomal RNA
Rfam family: Bacterial small subunit ribosomal RNA
Source: RNAcentral